RNAcentral lists this transfer RNA (88 nucleotides) under Salmonella sp. FORC89. RNAcentral's name for it is "tRNA-Ser". The record is from RNAcentral. Lineage: Bacteria; Pseudomonadati; Pseudomonadota; Gammaproteobacteria; Enterobacterales; Enterobacteriaceae.
CGGCUCUGCUCGUAAGAGAAGUCCAGAGCAACAUUUUCCAUCGGGUUGAAUUGCAGACCAGCGCCAUAGGAGAAGCCAUAAUCGCUGG